CAUAGGAGGAGACCAGGAACAUCUGGAGGUUCAUAGGAGGAGACCAGGAACAUCUGGAGGUUCAUAGGAGGAGACCAGGAGCCUCUGGAGGUUCAUAGGAGGAGACCAGGAACAUCUGGAGGUUCAUCUGAGACCAGGAACAUCUGGAGGUUCAUAGGAGGAGAGCAGGAACCUCUGGAGGUUCAUCUGAGACCAGGAACCUCUGGAGGUUCAUAGGAGGAGACAAAGAACCUCUGGAAGUUUAUCUGAGACCAGGAACCUCUGGAGGUUCUUCUGAGACCAGGAACCUCUGGAGGUUCAUAGGAGGAGACCAGGAACCUCUGGAGGUUCAUAGGAGGAGACCAGGAACAUCUGGAGGUUCAUAGGAGGAGACCAGGAACAUCUGGAGGUUCAUAGGAGGAGACCAGGAGCCUCUGGAGGUUCAUAGGAGGAGACCAGGAACAUCUGGAGGUUCAUCUGAGACCAGGAACCUCUAGAGGUUCCUAGGAGGAGACCAGGAACAUCUGGAGGUUCAUAGGAGGAGAGCAGGAACCUCUGGAGGUUCAUCUGAGACCAGGAACCUCUGGAGGUUCAUAGGAGGAGACAAAGAACCUCUGGAAGUUUAUCUGAGACCAGGAACCUCUGGAGGUUCUUCUGAGACCAGGAACCUCUGGAGGUUCAUAGGAGGAGACCAGGAACCUCUGGAGGUUCAUAGGAGGAGACCAGGAACAUCUGGAGGUUCAUAGGAGGAG
Long non-coding RNA from Amphiprion ocellaris (clown anemonefish), 731 nucleotides. NCBI's taxonomy places the organism in Eukaryota, Metazoa, Chordata, Actinopteri, Pomacentridae. The record is from Ensembl.